Long non-coding RNA from Hyla sarda, 661 nucleotides. RefSeq lists it as uncharacterized. The transcript is spliced from 2 exons. The record is from RefSeq and is a predicted model, not a curated record. Lineage: Eukaryota; Metazoa; Chordata; Amphibia; Anura; Hylidae.
GUCUGACGAGUGACAUCCUUUGCUCCAGUAGCGCCAUUUUAAUAAAAAAAUUGCCCAAAAUCCCUUAGAUAACAGUCAUACAGAAAAUAUUAGAAAGCUUUUUUGUUUUUCAGCCAAUCAGAGAGCAGCACUACUGAAAUAGAACUCUCAGGAGGUAACAGCGUGUCACACAUGUGAUGUCAUUGCCAUUGUCCACCAGAGAGCAGCACUGAGCAGAUAUAACACUGCUCCUGCUCAUUCUUCAUCAGUGAGGGGCUGAUGCUGGACACUGUAGGGACCGAGAAUGCAAAGUCAUAUACACUACUGUGACUGAUGCACUAUUUCCAGGAUGUGGAGUAGCAUUUCCGGACCUACAGCAAGACGUUGGAUGAAGACGUAGAUUUCCAUACCCACAGCAAGAAUUUGGAUGAAGGCACAGCCCCUCAAAUCACGCACAUACACAGACACAUUGGCCCAAAUUCUAGAGGUAACCUCCUUUAGUAUGCCCAGAGGAAGGGCAAUACAGUAGCCAUGGAUUCCCUACAGGUUUCCUCCCCUCUGGAGGUUUUUCCUGUCCUGAGUAUUAGUUACUGUACGCUCUUUGUGAGUGAUGGAGGUUACAUAAAAUCCCUACACAAACAUUUUAAUAUAUAAUAAAUAAAGUUCCCCUUUUUAAACCAUU